Long non-coding RNA from Bos taurus (domestic cattle), 3036 nucleotides. NCBI's taxonomy places the organism in Eukaryota, Metazoa, Chordata, Mammalia, Artiodactyla, Bovidae. The record is from Ensembl.
GGUCUAUGAAGUACUAGGGAAGUGAAAUCAUUACAGAAAAUCGCAUGUUCAGAAGAAAAAGAAAAUGAGGCUAAUUAAAAGGGAUGGUGAUUAAAAUUAUGGUCCAAUUCAUAAUUCUUCAGUUAUUUUUGUGAGAUUAACAUCUGUAUAUUAAAAAUUGUGUUACAAACACAAAACAUACGAGCACCUCUAAGCUCAAAAAUAAAAAUUAUGCACAGUGGAGAAAUCAACAGCAUGCUAAUGACCAUUUGUUUUGCUCAUUAGUGAGAUGGAUAACUGGUGAAGUGAAUAUUCUCUACCAUAAUUUUUCAUUAAAGAAACAUUUUUCUUCUGAACUAGCAGCUUGUUUUAAACAGAGCAGAGCCAAUAACAGGCUCUCAAAAUGUGUUAGGAGAUGAUUGUUCUUCAGUCGCUCAGUCAUGUCCAACUCUGUGACCCCAUGGACUGCAGCAUACCAGGCUUCCCUGUGCUUCACCAUCUCCCAGAGUUUGCUCAAAUUCAUGUCCAUUGAGUCAGUAAUGCCAUCCAACCAUCUCAUCCUCUGUCAUCCUCUUCCCCUCCUGCCUUCUAUCUUUCCCAGCAUCAGGGUCUUUUCCAGUGAAUCAGUUCUUUGCAUCAGGUGGCCAAAGUAUUGGAGCUUCAGCUUCAGCAUCAGUCUUUCCAACGAAUAUUCAGGAUUAAUUUCCUUCUGUAUUGGUUAAUUAUGCACAACACUCAGGACUAGUAAAUCCUUGCCUCUUUCAAGAUGUUGGUAGAAAAGAGAGUAGGGGCUAAAGGUCAACCCUCUUUGUAAUGGACAUCUAUUACAUCCCAAAGCAUGCCCUUUGUAUGCCCUUCCUUCUGUUCACAGUAUGAUUAUCACCUCUCCAGUGUGGAAAUCAGAAGUAAAUUCUCAGCCCCUGUAGCGCGUAGGAGGAAGGCACAUGACCAGAGCGCAGCAGGCAGAUACCCCUGCUGGGCCUUACACUCAGACAGGAGGGCCAGGAGCAGCUACAUGCAGGAGGCGGGAGCAGGGACAGCAUCACGUUCCCAGCCAUUGCAAGGCUGGUUUCCUGGCACAGAAGUGCAGUCAGCACCAGGCACAGUGCCCCUCACAUUGAACUUCCGGUGCUUGGCAUCCAACGGAGGCAAUGAAGGAAGUGGUCCAGGAGCCAAGAGAUAAAGUAUGAAAUAUGGAUAUCCUCAAGAGACGAGUAAAGAGAUUCUUUCUUAGAGCUUCCUGCAAGGAAUCCAGCCCUUCCAACACCUGGUUUCAGCUCGUUCAUCUUGUGUCAGACUUCUGCAAAACUGUCCAUCUAGUCAAGGCUAUGGUUUUUCCACUGGCCAUGUAUGGAUGUGAGAGUUGGACUAUAAGGGAAGCUGAGCACCGAAGAAUUGAUGCUUUUGAACAGUGGUGUUGGAGAAGACUCUUGAGAGUCCCUUGGACUGCAAGGAGAUCCAACCAGUCCAUUCUGAAGGAGAUCAGCCCUGAAUAUUCAUUGGAAGGACUGAUGCUGAAGCUGAAACUCCAAUACUUUGGCCACCUGAUGCAAAGAGUUGACUCAUUGGAAAAGACUCUGAUGCUAGGAGGGAUUGGGGGCAGGAAGAGAAGGGGACGACAGAGGAUGAGAUGGCUGGAGGGCAUCACUGACUUGAUGGACAUGAGUUUGGGUAAACUCCAGGAGUUGGUGAUGGACAGGAAGGCCUGGCGUGCUGCAAUUCAUGGGGUUGGCAAAGAGUCGGACACAACUGAGCGACUGACCUGAACUGAACUGAUUCUCUUCUCAGCAAGUGAAACAGUGGCUGCUUUGCUGGAGUGUUUUUUAAUUUUUUUUUCUUUUCCUUUGGCAGUAUUAUACCUGAAUUCCUGAUUAGUAUUGUCAGCAAUGAAGUCCUUUCCUUAGAACUCAUGUCUACAUUCAGUAACUGGCUAUAACAGGAAUAUCUCUGCAGAAUCUAAACUAGUCAGGAGCUGUGCUUCUGGUGUUUCAGUCUCUCAGAGAUGUGCUAAGUUUACUUUCAAGUCUCAAAUUGUAUUGUUAAAUCUGUAAAUGGAUCAAUUAGAUGCCAGUUAGGUACCAAUCUCUGCUUUUAUGACUGUAGUUCAUUUCUUAUUGAAAUAUAAUUCAUGGAACAUAAAAGACACUAUUUUAAAAUGUAUAAUUCAGUGGGUUUGAUAUAACAUUGUACAAUCAUUACUGCCAGCUAAUUUCUGAACAUUUUCAUCACCGCCCCCCAAAAUAUCUUGUACCUGUUAGCAGUCACUCCUAAUUUCCUCCAUUUUCUCACCACCAAUAAUCUACUUUCUUUGUGUAUUUGGCUAUUCUGGCUAUUUCAUAUGAAUGAAGUGAAUUGAAAGUCAUUCAGUCAUGUCCAACUCUUUGCAACCUCAUGGACUACAUAGUCCAUGGAUUUCUCCAGGCCCGAAUACUGGGAGUAGGUAGCUGUUCUUUCUCCAGGGGACCUUCGCAACCCAGGGAUCAAACCCAAGUCUGCAUUGCAGGCAGAUUCUUUACCAGCUGAGCCACUGGGGAAGUUCAACAGGCAAAUACACAGUCUACUUUCUUCGUGUAUUUGCCUAUUCUGGUAUUUAAUAUGAAUAGAAGUAUAUAAUAUGUGGCCUGUUUUGUCUGGCUUCUCUCACUUAGCAUAAUGCUUUCAAAGUUCAUACAUUUUGUAACAUGAAUCAGUACUUUAUUCUUUUUAUUGCUGAAUAAUAUUCCAUUGAAUGAACAUAACAAUUACUUUAUCCAUUAAUCCAUUAUGCGGCAUUGAGUGAGUUAUUGUGAAUAAUGCUGCUAUGAAUGUUCGUUUUCUGUGUUAAUUUGUUUUUGAUCCUCUUGGAUAUGUAGCUAAGAGUAGAAUUGCUAGUUUAUAUAACCUUAUGCUUAACUUUUUUGAGAAACUGUUAAAAUAUUUUCCGCAGAGGCAGCACCAUUUUUCAUUCCCAACACAAUGUAUGAAGAUGCCAACUUCUCCACAUCCUCCUGCACAUCUGUUUUUCCCCAAAAAUGUGAAGAAAUAUUUAACUCAACCAAAAAAAGGCAACCCAAUGAA